Molecule: ribosomal RNA, 336 nt
Filed under: uncultured Gigaspora
Lineage: Eukaryota; Fungi; Glomeromycota; Glomeromycetes; Diversisporales; Gigasporaceae
Description: partial 28S ribosomal RNA
Source: RNAcentral
GUGAAAUUGUUGAAAGGGAAACGAUUGAAGUCAGUCAUGCUGGUGGGAAUCAACUUAGGGGAAACUCUAGGUGCACUUCUUCGCUUGGCAGGUUAACGUCGAUCUUGAAUGCCAUAAAAUAAUUGGGGGAAGGUAGCUCCUUCGGGAGUGUUAUAGCCCUUGAUAGAUGUGAUGUUUGGGGUCGAGGAUUGCAACGGAUACCCUUCGGGGCUACCUGUCUGAUCUCUGAUCGUUGCUCUGGUGCCGAAAGCUUGCUUACGGUUAUCAAAGUCGAUGGUCAAUAGGUUAGAACGGGUUAAAUUCGUUAAGGAUGUUGACGUAAUGGCUUUAAACGAC